UGGCGAACGGGUGAGUAACACGUGGGUGAUCUGCCCUGCACUUCGGGAUAAGCCUUGGAAACUGGGUCUAAUACCGGAUAGGAGCCAUUUUUAGUGUGAUGGUUGGAAAGUUUUUUCGGUGUAGGAUGAGCUCGCGGCCUAUCAGCUUGUUGGUGGGGUAAUGGCCUACCAAGGCGGCGACGGGUAGCCGGCCUGAGAUGGUGGACGGCCACAUUGGGACUGAGACACGGCCCAG
RNAcentral lists this ribosomal RNA (235 nucleotides) under uncultured Actinomycetales bacterium. Its description in RNAcentral is "partial 16S ribosomal RNA". It matches the Rfam family "Bacterial small subunit ribosomal RNA", at positions 96 to 334 of the family's 1533-position model. The record is from RNAcentral. Lineage: Bacteria; Bacillati; Actinomycetota; Actinomycetes; Actinomycetales.